Molecule: long non-coding RNA, 5694 nt
Organism: Hylaeus anthracinus
Lineage: Eukaryota; Metazoa; Arthropoda; Insecta; Hymenoptera; Colletidae
Exons: 3
Source: RefSeq, a predicted model, not a curated record
GUAAUUUUUAAUUUUGCGCUGCCUCUGAAAAGGCUGCAUUGUAUUUAAUAUGCUGUAUUUAAUAAUUUAAUCAAAUUCAUCAAGAGCUGGUGAGUAAUAAUACAGUUCAAAUAGAAAUUACUUCAUACUUUUAAGUGCAGUUUUAAUGUUUUUCGAAGUCGGUUAUAUUUUUUUCCAAAAAUUAAUUUCUAGGUAGAUGCUAAUGGAAAUUUCUUUUAACGUAUAUUAUUUGAAUGUAAAUUUUAAUGCAUAUUGUUUAUAAUACAAAUCUUGAUGUACAUUAUAUUAACGCAUAUUUUAAUAUAUAUUGUUUUAAUGUCACUGUUUAGAAUUACUUAUUUUAAAACUAGUCUAGUUGAUGUUACGUCAAGAGCGUACAAUAUUGAUAACAAUUUAUUCGAUAACUUGAACUAUUUCUGGAACACUGGAAAUUUAUUCAUUUAUUGAAACAUGCUAAUGUAGAUUAAAUUUAAUAUAUAUACUAUUUUAAUGCAAAUUUUAAUGUAUAUUUUUUUAAUGUUACUGUUUAGUGUCGGGGUUACACCGAGUGUACAUUGUUGACAGUAAUUAUUACUACUAUUACACAUUGUUUGUUUGUCAACAUUUGAAAAUCUAAAUAAUGAAGUAUUCCCUAGUCCUUAACAAUCAAAUAUUCCCCAUGAAUUUUAUACACUAAUACCUAUUAUUCCAUUCGUAAUAAAAUAAUAUUAUUAAUAAUGACACGUCAAGAAUGAAUACUGCUGGUUAUUCCUGGUAAUUCCCCAGAGAACAGCGCAACGUGUUGCGCACACCAGUUACGUGCAAUUAAAAAUUCACGACGUAAGCGGACGAUUGAUAACGCAACCGCCACAAGGACGAAGUUCUAUGACUUGCAGAACUCUAGGAAAUACGCAGCCAACAAUCUACAUACGUCCGUAGUCGCGAAUCGGUCGCCGAUAACGCAGUUAGUAUACACCGAGCAACGUAAAACCCCUUUCGACUCGCGGUGCGCGAAUCGGUAAACAAGUCGAACCGUUUACGUUCAACGACACGACGAAAGCAGCAGACUGGCAAAACACACAACGUCGCUGGAAAAUCCUGUCUAUCAAUUGCGAAUCGACCGUUGAUAAUACACGUGGCGUGGUUCGCGCACGAGAAGUCGAGGGUAGCCGUUUCCCAUCAAAUUGCGAAGUCGAGCACGGAGUAUCACCACACUUUAUAGUUCAUUUAAUUUCUGUACUAUUGUUUUUUUAUCAAAUUUGUAUUACCGAAGCAAUGCUUUCAUGAGUGAAAUCGAUUUAGUAGAAUUAAUCAAGGAAGGAUUAGAUAAAAAUGAAUAUUUGGAUAUAGGUACGAGUUAAAUCGAAAAAUGAGGGUAUGAGGAUUUGCACUCGGGACCCAUAGAUUAUGAGUCGAGUACUUUCUUUACUGAACCAUCGGCUCACACUAUCAGUCGUGUUUUUAUUUGACUCAUUAUACUAUAGAUGACGUUGGUUAUUUCUUUACAUGGAUAAAGCGUAAGUGUUCUGUACCUUCCCUUCCCUUCCCUUCUCUAAUAAGGAAUAUUUGAUUGAUACAAGGACUAUAGAAUAUUUCAUUAUUUAGUUGUUUAAGUAUAGAAAAAUAAACAGCGUGUAUAAUAACAGGCAAUGUAUGAAUAAAUUUUUAGAGCCCUAGACAAAAUUUACGUUAUUCCAUAAAUUAUUAUCAAUAAUGUGCACUCUUGGUGUAACAUCCACACUUGAAAUACUACUUUCAAAAUAAAUUCAGAAUAGGUCAAAACGACCAUGCUCUGUAAACUUAUUGCGAGACGAAUUCCUCGAUUAGCGAAGCUACUCGAGUCUAGUAUCGUUUUGUCUGAAAUGCCUAGUUUCCGUUGAAUUAUUAACUUGUUGCCUUAUAACGCUGCGUUAUUUUAGUGACUCGGAUUACGAUCCAAGUGUGACGAACACGAGUCGUAUUCGCAACUCAUAGCAAUGUACCAAUUUUGCUGUCGUCGACAUUCAACGUUUGCAACGGUUGAACGUACACAACGAGUAUAUACAUUAAUGGAUUUCGUCAUAAUCUUUUGCUUUACGACUUACGGAAUGUUAAAUAAUUCUAGGAAUAAUAAUCAGAGGAUAGGACAUUUUUCCACAAACGAGAUAAGAUGACAGAAUUAAGGCAAUCAACUCUUAAGAAGAUACAGUGGGUGUAGAAAGUAUUCGUACACCGAUCAAUUUCCCAAAAAACUGUGUAAAAUUGUAAUUUAUUAACUUAUAUUUUAUAAACAAUGUCAUUCUACAUGUUCUAGGAAAUCUCUAGAAUAGAUAGAUUACAACAAAAAUAGCUAUUUAUGUAAGUUGCGAAAUUAACAAGAAAAAAAACAAUUAAGCGAUAGAAAUGUUGAAGCAAUAAGUAUUCGCACAACUGUUUAAAAGUACUUUACUGGAAAUUUGAUGUUUUCUAAUUCUUACGGAGCAAUAAACAAAUGUGUUUACGUUACAAACUCUGCUGUAAAUGGUUCGUCAUAAGAAUCGUACAAAUACUUAUUGCUUCUAUACUUUUACCCACUUUUCGCAAUUUUUUAUUAAUUUCACAAAUUAUAUUAACUAGUAAAUGUUGUUUGAACUAUAUCUAUCUUAGAAACUUCCGAGAAUAUGUAAAAUAUCAUAGAUUAUAAAAAAAGAAGUUAAGAAACUACAAUUUCACACAAAACUAUGUUGGCAAAUUGAUAGAUGUACGAAUACAUUCUAUACCCACUGUAUAUGUAUAGUAGAACAAGUACCUUUUGAAACCGAAUUGGUGGCAAUCGAUAGUUUCGAUAAUUGCGAUUCUCAAUUUAGUGGAAUAAUACUCUUGUUGCGUAAUCGCUAGGGCUUAGCCAAUUUGACCCCUAAUCGAGAAAACAGAUUAAGUACGUCUUAUUUUAUCUAACCGAAUAUGCGAUUAGGUUUGCUAUAAAAUUUUGAUCAGAACGAUUCGCGAUUAUAAUUUCUAUAUAUUUGUAUUCUACUAUCUUUUUAUUAUUCAUAAAUCCAUCUCUUUAUCUAUAAAGAUGCAUUUGUCUAAUAACAAUAUACAGACUAAACGAAAACUGGGAGCGCCAGGAUUCGAACUUGAGUUCUCCAGAUUCAUAGUCAACGCUUUUCCCCACGGGACUAUUCCGCAUCCUACUAGUCGUUGUUCUUACUGAACUUCUUAUUACUGACAAUGGGUAUGAGGGGGGGGGGGCACGAUACUACAUCAUCUAAUUGAAUAAAUAACUGAAUUUAGAUGAUUACUUGAAUUUUAUAAAAAAAAUUAUUCUGAUGACUUAUUACAAGGCUAAGGAUUUUAAAGAUGAGAGUUCAACACAAUUCACGAAUGAUUCAACACACGAAUCGUCUCGUGGCGAGCACAUCGAAGACUAUACUUCGUUAUUAACGCGUUUUAUCGAUUCCACGUGGACGUACCGCGGGUUUCUACGUUGCUUCAGGUGAGAUGCAGCGCAUAUCUUCCGACUGGUUGUCCAUGUAUGCCACGGUGCUACGAUUCAAGGCCGUUAUUGACAAUCUAUGACCUACUAUUAUUUUCAAACGUGAUGGAGACAUUUACGCGAAAAAAGAAAAACGAACGCAAGUUCACCGUUAAAGGAUUUUCCAAGAGGAGCUUCAGGAUUUUGUUUUUUUAGCAACACCUGGAAGCAUAGUCGACAUAUUAAUGUAAAUUAAAUAAAUAUAAAUAUGUUACAUAAAUAUAAUAUAUAAAUUAGAUAUAUUUUAUACCAUUCGUGUUUUAUCAAAAAAUAAAAUCACGAAGCCUCUUUAUAAUUAUAUUUCCCCUCUUGAGAAAUCCUUUAUAAUUCUUCGAUCACGAUUUUCAAAAUAUCAUUUUGCAAGCAAUGACUGGGAUCAAACGUUUCUCCGAGGAACUUGAUCGUACAACGUAUACCAUAGUGCGAUUAUAAGGCUUAUCUCGCUUUUAUCGAACAAGGAGCUUAAGGUUUCGUUACUGUCGUUUUAUGAGAUCGACGGUAUUUUAUUUAUUUAUACUCAUUCGUCUUUAUAUUUAAACUGUAUUACUCUUAAACGUGAUAAUGUUUAGUUUAUCUCCUGAAGGCAACCAGCGAACGAUCAACAAAUUCCAAAAAAUAAAUAAAAUUAUGCUCCGCUUACCAAUGUCAUUCUACAUUACCAAGAAAUCUAUAUUGAUUCAAUGUUAUUUCCGUAGCUAUUGUUAACCAACAGGCUACCUUUGAAAUAACAUUGUUUGAAAUAUGAAAUAAAUUUGUAAGGUCAGGUAUUUCUGUAACAAUAUACGUUCCUCAAAUUUCCAAUACUUUUGGGUUCAUUUAAUGAUACCAAAGCCCAAAAAGUGUAUUUCCAGAAUUUUUGUUUGUUCACCCAGUACUUAAUACUUUGUAUGCGAUAAACAAAAAUAAAACCGAAACAAAAAAUAUUAAUUUAUUCACACGCUCCAAUUGGCACUACAUAAACAAAGAUGUACCGUAUACUUUCUAAUGUAGUAGGGUAUACUCAAUUUUAACAAAUUGUAUCCGAUAUUAGUCUGUAAAUAACGUAUGAACCUAUUUCACGGUUAUUUAAUUUUUUAUCUACAAUUACGCAAUCAUAUUUGAUAAAAUACCAACAGAAACAACAAUUUUGUGUAAUCAAAAUAGUCUGAAAAUACUCUGGGAAAGUGUCUAACGUACGCCACCAAAAAUAUUGAGUUGAUUCAUAAAUAACUUUCAUUGCAUUUACAAUUUUUAAUUUUCCUGUUAAGUAAGAGCAAGUGACCAAUGAUGGUGAUUACAUAAUUGAUUAAGCUUCGUUACGUAGUAAUGUAUUUAGAUAUAAAUUUUAAGUUAUAAAACGGAAGUUAUUUGUGAACCAACCCAAUAUUUCUAAAUUUUUCAAUAAAUCAAAUUAAAAAUGUAGUUAUAACCGAAUUCGAUGGUACUAUAUGUGCAUAGAAGGUGCUUCUUUCUGAUGCUCCAAGACCUCCCUUCUAACGUCAUAAUUGUAUUAUAACAGAAAUAUUCACGGUUCCGACUGAUGUAAUAAAAUUCUAUAGAACAUCGAGGAAGAUGAUUCAAAGUAUUUCGCUGAUGCGGGCCAUUAAGGAAACUUCGAACACGUGUACCAGACGACUGGCAGUGGAAUCGAGAGUGGUAGGGAUAAACAACAUGCGUCGUGUAUAAACCAAUGCUAGCGCGUAGUUCGAUAAAGUCACUUUUACUGCGCUACUCGACUCCGUCAGGCGGAUAGAUCCAUGAUAUAUGUAUAUGUAUGUAUAGGAAACUCGACUAACCGAAGUCGGCUACAAACGACUAUUUCGUAGCUCGUGUGGCUUCUUCGCGCACCGAGAAGAGGUACAAACGCGUAAUUCCUGCGUUAGACAAGUCUCGUAAAGUUACAUUUGUUGUACAGAUAGCAGAAUAACGUAUCGCGUGACGUUUAAUUAAAUAUGUACACACAACGGAAACGGUGUUCUGCUUCUGAUACGUUACAAUGGUAAAUAAGCAUUCCAUCAGUAUCUUAAUACAUUCAGUAUCCCCCGAAUCCAAAAAUAUCCAGUCAACUUUUACACACUGACUACGUUAAAAACAAUGGGCCAAAUAAGCCAACGGAUGCAUUAAAUAUACUGCACGUACAAGCCAAGGACACAGAAAAGUGACAACGAUGCUGUGUUUACUUACCGUUGAGACCAUACUUCUCCUGGUUCCUCUUGACCUGAUCAACGGACAAUCCUUUC